This 193-nucleotide ribosomal RNA is filed under the name uncultured bacterium. Its description in RNAcentral is "partial 16S ribosomal RNA". It matches the Rfam family "Bacterial small subunit ribosomal RNA", at positions 338 to 523 of the family's 1533-position model. The record is from RNAcentral.
CCUACGGGAGGCAGCAGUGGGGAAUAUUGGACAAUGGGGGCAACCCUGAUCCAGCCAUGCCGCGUGUGUGAAGAAGGCCUUCGGGUUGUAAAGCACUUUAAGCGAGGAGGAAGGUCUUUGAAUUAAUACUUCAAAGAAUUGACGUUACUCGCAGAAUAAGCACCGGCUAACUCUGUGCCAGCAGCCGCGGUAA